Molecule: long non-coding RNA, 325 nt
Filed under: Triticum aestivum (bread wheat)
Lineage: Eukaryota; Viridiplantae; Streptophyta; Magnoliopsida; Poales; Poaceae
Description: long non-coding RNA (TAES_LNC004082)
Source: RNAcentral
GAAUGAACACAGCUCAGCUUCAUUUUUGCCAAUUGAAAUGGAUAAUUGUUUGUCACUCACAGAUGCCUUGAUAAUAAUUGUUUUAUUGCCAUUAACGGACACAUUAAUAGCUAGUGCACAGAAUACAGAAUCCUGGUACCAUCAAUGCUAAUUUGCCCGCUUAAACUUGACAGGCAAAUAGCUAAUUCCAACAGCAUCAGAGGACAAGGCGCAGCCCAAACUUUAAAUUGCGAAGGCGCUACCGGCAAUGUUCUUUGUCGAGGGCAUACCGGCAGUAACAUCUUCUUCGAUGCCACAUUCAUUCUUGCCCCUUAUGAUCUUGAAG